GACGAACGCUGGCGGCGUGCCUAAUACAUGCAAGUAGAACGCUGAAGGAGGAGCUUGCUUCUCUGGAUGAGUUGCGAACGGGUGAGUAACGCGUAGGUAACCUGCCUGGUAGCGGGGGAUAACUAUUGGAAACGAUAGCUAAUACCGCAUAAUAGUAGAUGUUGCAUGACAUUUGCUUAAAAGGUGCAAUUGCAUCACUACCAGAUGGACCUGCGUUGUAUUAGCUAGUUGGUGGGGUAACGGCUCACCAAGGCGACGAUACAUAGCCGACCUGAGAGGGUGAUCGGCCACACUGGGACUGAGACACGGCCCAGACUCCUACGGGAGGCAGCAGUAGGGAAUCUUCGGCAAUGGACGGAAGUCUGACCGAGCAACGCCGCGGGAGUGAAGAAGGUUUUCGGAUCGUAAAGCUCUGUUGUCAGAGAAGAACGAGUGUGAGAGUGGAAAGUUCACACUGUGACGGUAACUUACCAGAAAGGGACGGCUAACUACGUG
RNAcentral lists this ribosomal RNA (495 nucleotides) under uncultured bacterium. Its description in RNAcentral is "partial 16S ribosomal RNA". It matches the Rfam family "Bacterial small subunit ribosomal RNA", at positions 28 to 507 of the family's 1533-position model. The record is from RNAcentral.